GGACAACCUAACCUAUGGAGGGGGAUAACCCCGGGAAACUGGGGAUAAUACCCCAUAGACUAUAAAUGCUGGAAUGCUUUGUAGUUGAAAGGUCCGCCGCCAUAGGAUGGGUCUGCGGCCGAUUAGGUUGUUGUUGGGGUAACGGCCCAACAAGCCUGUAAUCGGUACGGGUUGUGGGAGCAAGAGCCCGGAGAUGGAUUCUGAGACACGAAUCCAGGCCCUACGGGGCGCAGCAGGCGCGAAAACUUUACAAUGCGGGAAACCGUGAUAAGGGAACUCCGAGUGCCCGUAAAAUCGGGCUGUCCAUCUGUGUAAAUAACAGGUGAAGAAAGGGCCGGGCAAGACCGGUGCCAGCCGCCGCGGUAAUACCGGCGGCUCGAGUGGUGGCCACUAUUACUGGGCUUAAAGCGUUCGUAGCUGGUCUGUUAAGUCUCUGGGGAAAUCUACUGGCUUAACCAAUAGGCGUCUCAGGGAUACUGGCAGACUAGGGACCGGGAGAGGUGAGAGGUACUCCAGGGGUAGGAGUGAAAUCCUGUAAUCCUUGGGGGACCACCUGUGGCGAAGGCGUCUCACCAGAACGGCUCCGACAGUGAGGGACGAAAGCUGGGGGAGCAAACCGGAUUAGAUACCCGGGUAGUCCCAGCUGUAAACGAUGCGCGUUAGGUGUAUCGAUGACCACGAGUCAUCGAGGUGCCGAAGAGAAAUCGUGAAACGUGCCGCCUGGGAAGUACGGUCGCAAGGCUGAAACUUAA
This 752-nucleotide ribosomal RNA is filed under the name uncultured archaeon. RNAcentral's name for it is "bacterial SSU rRNA". It matches the Rfam family "Archaeal small subunit ribosomal RNA", at positions 102 to 859 of the family's 1478-position model. The record is from RNAcentral.